GAUGAAGAACGUAGUGAAACGCGAUACGUAAUGUGAAUUGCAAAUUCAGUGAAUCAUCGAGUCUUUGAACGCACAUUGCGCCCCCUGGUAUUCCGGGGGGCAUGCCUGUCCGAGCGUCAUUGCUGCCCUCAAGCACGGCUUGUGUGUUGGGCCCCGUCCUCCGAUCCCGGGGGACGGGCCCGAAAGGCAGCGGCGGCACCGCGUCCGGUCCUCGAGCGUAUGGGGCUUUGUCACCCGCUCUGUAGGCCCGGCCGGCGCUUGCCGAUCAACCCAAAUUUUUAUCCAGGUUGACCUCGGAUCAGGUAGGGAUACCCGCUGAACUUAAGCAUAUCAAUAAGCGGAGGA
RNAcentral lists this unclassified non-coding RNA (345 nucleotides) under soil metagenome. Its description in RNAcentral is "partial contains 5.8S ribosomal RNA, internal transcribed spacer 2, and large subunit ribosomal RNA". The stretch from base 1 to 119 matches the Rfam family "5.8S ribosomal RNA", at positions 35 to 154 of the family's 154-position model. The record is from RNAcentral.